AUUGAACGCUGGCGGCAUGCCUUACACAUGCAAGUCGAACGGUAACGGGCCUUCGGGUGCCGACGAGUGGCGAACGGGUGAGUAAUGCAUCGGAACGUACCUUUCAGUGGGGGAUAACGUAGCGAAAGUUACGCUAAUACCGCAUAUUCUGUGAGCAGGAAAGCAGGGGAUCGCAAGACCUUGCGCUGAUUGAGCGGCCGAUGUCAGAUUAGCUAGUUGGUGAGGUAAAGGCUCACCAAGGCGACGAUCUGUAGCGGGUCUGAGAGGAUGAUCCGCCACACUGGAACUGAGACACGGUCCAGACUCCUACGGGAGGCAGCAGUGGGGAAUUUUGGGACAAUGGGCGCAAGCCUGAUCCAGCCAUGCCGCGUGAGUGAAGAAGGCCU
This 386-nucleotide ribosomal RNA is filed under the name uncultured bacterium. Its description in RNAcentral is "bacterial SSU rRNA". It matches the Rfam family "Bacterial small subunit ribosomal RNA", at positions 30 to 417 of the family's 1533-position model. The record is from RNAcentral.